This 325-nucleotide RNase P RNA is filed under the name Candidatus Stahliibacteriota bacterium. RNAcentral describes it as "bacterium (Candidatus Stahlbacteria) RNase P RNA component class A". It matches the Rfam family "Bacterial RNase P class A". Rfam says of the family: Ribonuclease P (RNase P) is a ubiquitous endoribonuclease, found in archaea, bacteria and eukarya as well as chloroplasts and mitochondria. Its best characterised activity is the generation of mature 5'-ends of tRNAs by cleaving the 5'-leader elements of precursor-tRNAs. Cellular RNase Ps are ribonucleoproteins. Lineage: Bacteria; Candidatus Stahliibacteriota. The record is from RNAcentral.
GCGGAAGGGCGGAUGGUCGCGCUCAAUUGAGUGAGGAAAGUCCGGACAUCAUUGAGUGAGGGAUGCUCACAUAAGUGAGACACUGUAAGGUGACGGAAAGUGCCACAGAAAAUAUACCGCCCUGCAAGAGUGGGGUAAGGGUGAAAAGGUGGGGUAAGAGCCCACCGGGUUCCUGGCGACAGGAAUUGCAUGGUAAACCCCAUCCGAUGCAAUGCAAAUAGGGUAGGCUCGCUCACUCAGGCCUAUAACCCCGGGUAGCUGCAUAGAUCAAUGACCAUCGUGCAUAAUAUGCAUACAGAAUCCGGCUUAUAGCCCUUCCGCUUUU